This 916-nucleotide ribosomal RNA is filed under the name uncultured bacterium. Its description in RNAcentral is "bacterial SSU rRNA". It matches the Rfam family "Bacterial small subunit ribosomal RNA", at positions 9 to 916 of the family's 1533-position model. The record is from RNAcentral.
GAGUUUGAUCAUGGCUCAGGAUGAACGCUAGCUACAGGCUUAACACAUGCAAGUCGAGGGGCAGCAUGAAAGUUUGCUUGCAAACUUUUGAUGGCGACCGGCGCACGGGUGAGUAACACGUAUCCAACCUGCCUCAUACUCGGGGAUAGCCUUUCGAAAGAAAGAUUAAUACCCGAUGUCAUAGUCCUACCGCAUGAUGGGAUUAUUAAAGAAUUUCGGUAUGGGAUGGGGAUGCGUUCCAUUAGUUAGUUGGCGGGGUAACGGCCCACCAAGACAACGAUGGAUAGGGGUUCUGAGAGGAAGGUCCCCCACAUUGGAACUGAGACACGGUCCAAACUCCUACGGGAGGCAGCAGUGAGGAAUAUUGGUCAAUGGACGAGAGUCUGAACCAGCCAAGUAGCGUGAAGGAUGACUGCCCUAUGGGUUGUAAACUUCUUUUAUAUGGGAAUAAAAUGUUCCACGUGUGGGAUUUUGUAUGUACCAUAUGAAUAAGGAUCGGCUAACUCCGUGCCAGCAGCCGCGGUAAUACGGAGGAUCCGAGCGUUAUCCGGAUUUAUUGGGUUUAAAGGGAGCGUAGGUGGAUUGUUAAGUCAGUUGUGAAAGUUUGCGGCUCAACCGUAAAAUUGCAGUUGAAACUGGCAGUCUUGAGUACAGUAGAGGUGGGCGGAAUUCGUGGUGUAGCGGUGAAAUGCUUAGAUAUCACGAAGAACUCCGAUUGCGAAGGCAGCUCACUGGACUGCAACUGACACUGAGGCUCGAAAGUGUGGGUAUCAAACAGGAUUAGAUACCCUGGUAGUCCACACAGUAAACGAUGAAUACUCGCUGUUUGCGAUAUACUGCAAGCGGCCAAGCGAAAGCAUUAAGUAUUCCACCUGGGGAGUACGCCGGCAACGGUGAAACUCAAAGGAAUUGACGG